AUACCGUCCGUUUGUUACUAAAAUGUACUUGUCUCCCGCCACAAUGUCAGAGACUCUCUCUCUCUCUUCCCUGUGAUCUCUGUGACUCUCUCUCUCUCUCUCUCUCAAAGCUCACUCACAAUGUCAGACUCAGAGACCCCAUUCAGGAAAGGUGACCAAGUGGAAGUGACAAAGCCACACCACCAUUCCUACGCCACCACCACCAGCGUCGCCACCAAUGGACCCUACUACCCCGCCAUCGUGCUCCGCUCACAUCCCACCAAAGACCACCACCUCUUGAUUCAGUACCAAACCCUUAAGUCAUUGCACAGUGGGCCUUACGGCCCGCAACUCCUCACCGAGUACGUCCAUUGGGCCCGGGUCAGGCCCAUUCCGCCCAACGACCCCCACCAGGGCCUCAAAGUCGGUGACUCCGUCGACGCCUUUCGAGGAUGUUCGUGGGUUAAAGGCACGGUUAUGGACAUUUAUGAAAACUCCAAGUACUUGGUGCUUUUCGACGAGGAAGAACAAGAGCUCGAGAUUGAGCAGUGGAAUUUGCGGCUUCAUAGGAACUGGGUUCGUGGCUCAUGGGACGCACCUCUUCUAGAACAGCUUGAAGUGCAGGAAAAGCCAUCUGAAACGGAGGUGGAGUCUAGAAAUUGUAGAAUAAUGAUAACAUACAGCAGGAGAAAAUCAAAGGAAAAGUUUAGAAAGGGAACCAUGGUGGAGGUCAGCAGCGAUGAGGAAGGUUACAAGGGUUCUUGGUUCACUGCUACUGUUAUUCAGUCUACAGGAAGUGACAAGUUUCUGUUGGAAUACCAUAACCUGACCAUGGAUGAUGGAACCCAGCCUUUGAGAGAAGAAGUACAUGCACAGUAUAUUAGGCCUUUUCCCCCUGAAGUUCCUGGAGUUGUGUCUUUUAAGGAGCUCCAAGAAGUCGAUGCAUGGUACAACGAAGGGUGGUGGGAAGGUGUGAUUUCCAAAGUUCUAAAUUUCUCAGAGUAUAUCGUCUAUUUCAGCUAUUCCAAUGAGGAAUUAAGAUUUGGACAUUCUAAGUUGAGGCCACAUCAACAUUGGAUUAAUGGAAAAUGGGUCAUUGCUUCCAAGCUUGAAGUGCAGGAAAAGCCAUCUGAAAUGGAGAUGGAGUCUAGAGAUUUAAGAAUAAAGAUAACAUACAGCAGCAAAAAAUCAACAGAAAAGUUCAGAAAGGGAACAUUAGUGGAGGUCAGUAGUGAUGAGGAAGGUUAUAAGGGUUCUUGGUUCACUGCUACUGUCAUUGGGUCUACAGGAUCUGACAGGUUUCUGGUGGAAUACCAUAACCUGACAAUGGAUGAUGGAAUCCAGCCUUUCAGAGAAGAAGCACAUGCACGGCAUAUUAGGCCUUUCCCCCCUAAAGUUUCUGGAAUUGUGCAUUUUAAAAAGCUCCAAGAAGUCGAUGCUUGGUACAAUGAUGGGUGGUGGGAGGGUGUGAUUUCCAAAGUUAUAAAUUUCUCAGAGUAUAUUGUCUAUUUCAGCUCUACCAAUGAGGAAUUAAGAUUUGAACAUUCUAAGUUGAGGCCUCAUCAGCAUUGGAUUAAUGGAACAUGGCUCAUUGCUUCCAAGGGAAAGUCUUGUGAGCUGGCAAUGGCAUAUAGGGAUGUACAAGUGAGUAUGAAUGAUGCUGGAAACAAAUCGAAGGCAAAGUUCAACUUGGGAGCAAUGGUAGAGGUCAGAAGUGAUGAGGAAGGUUUUCGAGGUUCUUGGUACACUGCAAUCAUUGUUGAUUUGAUAGGGAAUGACAAGUUCUUGGUGGAAUAUCAGACACUGAGAACAGAGGAUGAAACUGAACUUCUUAGGGAAGAGGCAGAUGUGUCAGAUAUAAGGCCUUGUCCCCCUGAUAUUGAACAUCUUUACCGUUUUGCAGUGCAAGAGAAAGUUGAUGUUUGGUAUAAUGAGGGGUGGUGGGUAGGUUAUAUAUCCAAUGUUCUAGAUGACUUGAGGUACAGAGUGUAUUUUGAGACCACAAAUGAGGUGCUGGAAUUUGAACAUUCUGAUCUGAGGCCUCAUCAAGAAUGGGUCGAUGGAAACUGGGUAGCUGCUUCUAGGGUAGGACAUCAGUAAUGCUUAUAUGGUACUUUUAUUGAGGCAAUCUUUUUAUAUAGCUUCUUGUGUAAAUAUUUCUGAAUUUGCAAACAUAUUGUCCCUUUUUAUAAACUACAAAUGAUUUCUUCUACCCAUGAAAUCUCUCAACAGUCUGAAGCCCUGAAAUGUACAAACAAUAACCACUUUGAUUGGAAAUUCUGAUCAAAGAAUGAAUUGCUUUAGGUUCUUCAAGCCAAUCUGCUAUCUUAUUGUAAAGAAUGUCUUUGGCUACAUCAGAUCAACAUUUUGUGCGUCUAAAAAUUGAAGCAUUAAUGUGUUCAAGAAUGUUGCUAUCCUUUGCUGUGUGUAUAUAUUUUUUGUCAGAUCUGAGAGUUCUCUUGCCUUCUCCAACCAGAUUCCAGGUUCAAUGAACCUCCAACUUCUUUUGUAUGUAAGAGAUUCAUUUGAUAUGAUAUCUUGUAAAUAUUAAACAUAUUAGUAUCUUACUAAUUCCACAUAGCAUUUUCAAUAUGGAUAUAUCAUUUAAGCUUU
Quercus lobata is the source of this 2592-nucleotide RNA transcript. It is a transcript of the gene named protein AGENET DOMAIN (AGD)-CONTAINING P1-like, with no coding region annotated. The record is from RefSeq and is a predicted model, not a curated record. The transcript has 5 exons. NCBI's taxonomy places the organism in Eukaryota, Viridiplantae, Streptophyta, Magnoliopsida, Fagales, Fagaceae.